This is a long non-coding RNA of Hyla sarda, 337 nucleotides long. RefSeq lists it as uncharacterized. The transcript is spliced from 3 exons. The record is from RefSeq and is a predicted model, not a curated record. Lineage: Eukaryota; Metazoa; Chordata; Amphibia; Anura; Hylidae.
CAGGAGCUCUUUGACGGGUUCUUUGACUCGCACGCCAAGAUAAGGUCGGUUUUGGUUAUGCUGGUGCUGAUCUGAAGUCACAGCUAGAAAACAAAAAAAGAAAAAGUACACUAAACAAGGCUUGCAUUGUUUAGAGAGAAUGAAGACCCUAAAAGUACAUAGAAAGCCAGGACAUAAAAAGGCUGCAGGCUUCUUCUCAUCUUUCUUACAAUCUGGAGGUCCAGACUGACCAUUUGUCCUACACUCUAUGUAUGCCAUCUGACCUGUCCCCGUUAAGCUCUUCUACUACAAUAUGAUGAAAUGAAUUUGCCUGGACUAAGAUAAAGUUAUCACCUCA